GGGCGUGUAGCUCAGUUGGUUAGAGCGCGGCUCUGAUAAAGCCGAGGUCAUAGGUUCGAUUCCUAUCACGCCCACCA
This 77-nucleotide transfer RNA is filed under the name bacterium ADurb.Bin212. RNAcentral's name for it is "tRNA-Ile". It matches the Rfam family "tRNA". Rfam says of the family: Transfer RNA (tRNA) molecules are approximately 80 nucleotides in length. Their secondary structure includes four short double-helical elements and three loops (D, anti-codon, and T loops). The record is from RNAcentral.